CCUACGGGAGGCAGCAGUGAGGAAUAUUGGUCAAUGGUCGGGAGACUGAACCAGCCAAGCCGCGUGAGGGAUGAAGGUACAGAGUAUCGUAAACCUCUUUUGUCAGGGAACAAAGGCGGGGACGUGUCCCCGGAUGAGUGUACCUGAAGAAAAAGCAUCGGCUAACUCCGUGCCAGCAGCCGCGGUACUACGGAGGAUGCGAGCGUUAUCCGGAUUUAUUGGGUUUAAAGGGUGCGCAGGCGGUCUGUUAAGUCAGUGGUAAAAGCCCGGGGCUCAACCCCGGCCCGCCGUUGAAACUGGCAGUCUCGAGUUGGAGAGAAGUAUGCGGAAUGCGCGGUGUAGCGGUGAAAUGCAUAGAUAUCGCGCAGAACUCCGAUUGCGAAGGCAGCAUGCCGGCUCCACACUGACGCUGAGGCACGAAAGCGUGGGUAUCGAACAGGAUUAGAUACCCUAGUAGUC
Molecule: ribosomal RNA, 459 nt
Filed under: uncultured bacterium
Lineage: Bacteria
Description: partial 16S ribosomal RNA
Rfam family: Bacterial small subunit ribosomal RNA
Source: RNAcentral